RNAcentral lists this ribosomal RNA (253 nucleotides) under uncultured bacterium. RNAcentral's name for it is "partial 16S ribosomal RNA". It matches the Rfam family "Bacterial small subunit ribosomal RNA", at positions 524 to 776 of the family's 1533-position model. The record is from RNAcentral.
UACGUAGGGUGCAAGCGUUGUCCGGAAUUAUUGGGCGUAAAGAGCGCGCAGGCGGUCGUACAAGUCGCGUGUGAAAGCCCCCGGCUCAACUGGGGAGGGUCACGCGAUACUGUUCGACUCGAAGGCAGGAGAGGGAAGUGGAAUUCCCGGUGUAGUGGUGAAAUGCGUAGAUAUCGGGAGGAACACCAGUGGCGAAGGCGACUUCCUGGCCUGUUCUUGACGCUGAGGCGCGAAAGCUAGGGUAGCAAACGGG